RNAcentral lists this unclassified non-coding RNA (142 nucleotides) under fungal sp. Its description in RNAcentral is "partial internal transcribed spacer region". The stretch from base 1 to 46 matches the Rfam family "Eukaryotic small subunit ribosomal RNA", at positions 1786 to 1831 of the family's 1831-position model. The record is from RNAcentral. Lineage: Eukaryota; Fungi.
AAGUCGUAACAAGGUUUCCGUAGGUGAACCUGCGGAAGGAUCAUCAACAAAAUAUAAGCUAGCAAUAGCCUUAUAAACCAUUUGUGUAAACAAAUAUAAAAAUUAAUAUAAUAAACUUUUAACAAUGGAUCUCUUGGCUCUU